AACGAACGCUGGCGGCGCGUCUUAAACAUGCAAGUCGAACGAUCUGUAGCAAUACAGGGAGUGGCGGACGGGUGAGGAACACGUAGGAAUCUACCUAGAAGAGCGGGACAACCUUGGGAAACCGGGGCUAAUACCGCAUAGUACAGUGAUGUUAAAGGGCUAGCAAUAGUCGCUUCUAGAUGAGCCUGCGGUCUAUCAGCUUGUUGGCGGGUAACGGCCCACCAAGGCUACGACGGAUAGCCGGUCUGAGAGGAUGAUCGGCCACACUGGCACUGAGACACGGGCCAGACUCCUACGGGAGGCAGCAGUUAAGAAUCUUGCGCAAUGGACGAAAGUCUGACGCAGCGACGCCGCGUGAAGGAUGAAGGCUUUCGGGUUGUAAACUUCGGUAGACUGGGAAGAAAAAGUAAGUUACGUUGUAGGG
Molecule: ribosomal RNA, 424 nt
Filed under: uncultured bacterium
Lineage: Bacteria
Description: bacterial SSU rRNA
Rfam family: Bacterial small subunit ribosomal RNA
Source: RNAcentral